CCCAGACUCCUACGGGAGGCAGCAGUGGGGAAUAUUGCACAAUGGGGGAAACCCUGAUGCAGCGACGCCGCGUGAGCGAAGAAGUAUUUCGGUAUGUAAAGCUCUCUCAGCAGGGAAGAAAAUGACGGUACCUGACUAAGAAGCUCCGGCUAAAUACGUGCCAGCAGCCGCGGUAAUACGUAUGGAGCAAGCGUUAUCCGGAUUUACUGGGUGUAAAGGGAGCGCAGGCAGCUUUGCAAGUCUGAUGUGAAAGGCCGGGGCUCAACCCCGGGAGUGCAUUUGAAACUGCCAUGCUGGAGUGCCGGAGAGGUAAGCGGAAUUCCUAGUGUAGCGGUGAAAUGCGUAGAUAUUAGGAGGAACACCAGUGGCGGAGGCGGCUUACUGGACGGUAACUGACGCUGAGGCUCGAAAGCGUGGGGAGCAAACAGGAUUAGAUACCCGAGUA
RNAcentral lists this ribosomal RNA (445 nucleotides) under uncultured bacterium. RNAcentral's name for it is "bacterial SSU rRNA". It matches the Rfam family "Bacterial small subunit ribosomal RNA", at positions 330 to 792 of the family's 1533-position model. The record is from RNAcentral.